AUUGAACGCUGGCGGCAUGCCUUACACAUGCAAGUCGAACGCGAAAGCGGGGCAACCCGCAAGUAGAGUGGCGAACGGGUGAGUAAUACAUCGGAACAUUUCCAGUAGCGGGGGAUAACCUGUCGAAAGAUAGGCUAAUACCGCAUACGCCCUACGGGGGAAAGCGGAGGGCCGCAAGGCUUCGCACUAUUGGAGUGGCCGAUGUCGGAUUAGCUAGUUGGCGGGGUAAAAGCCCACCAAGGCAACGAUCCGUAGCUGGUCUGGGAGGACGAUCAGCCACGCUGGAACUGAGACACGGUCCAGACUCCUACGGGAGGCAGCAGUGGGGAAUUUUGGACAAUGGGCGCAAGCCUGAUCCAGCCAUGCCGCGUGAGUGAAGAAGGCCUUCGGGUUGUAAAGCUCUUUCGGCGGGGACGAAAAGGUUCGUGCUAAUACCACGGACUAAUGACGGUACCCGAAGAAGAAGCACCGGCUAACUACGUGCCAGCCGCCGCGGUAA
This 499-nucleotide ribosomal RNA is filed under the name uncultured bacterium. Its description in RNAcentral is "partial 16S ribosomal RNA". It matches the Rfam family "Bacterial small subunit ribosomal RNA", at positions 29 to 523 of the family's 1533-position model. The record is from RNAcentral.